AUGCUGCUGAAGAGUCCCAAACUAGGACGAAACAGCUGUCCAGUAC
Molecule: non-coding RNA, 46 nt
Filed under: Trichobilharzia regenti
Lineage: Eukaryota; Metazoa; Platyhelminthes; Trematoda; Strigeidida; Schistosomatidae
Source: RNAcentral